Molecule: transfer RNA, 43 nt
Filed under: Dipoma iberideum
Lineage: Eukaryota; Viridiplantae; Streptophyta; Magnoliopsida; Brassicales; Brassicaceae
Also listed under: 1 other name
Description: partial tRNA-Phe
Source: RNAcentral
GGGAUAGCUCAGUUGGUAGAGCAGAGGACUGAAAAUCCUCGUG